Salvelinus namaycush (lake trout) is the source of this 473-nucleotide long non-coding RNA. RefSeq lists it as uncharacterized. The transcript is spliced from 2 exons. NCBI's taxonomy places the organism in Eukaryota, Metazoa, Chordata, Actinopteri, Salmoniformes, Salmonidae. The record is from RefSeq and is a predicted model, not a curated record.
CGUUGCUGACGAUACGUUGAUCAAUACAGUCAACGCUCUAGGUAGCCAACUUGAACAAUAACAUCUGCAAAAAGCACCAACUUGAACGUAAUGCAGCAUCUGAAAAGCACUAGAGUUCAGCGUGUGGUUAACGUAAGACGUCAUGAGGACGCAUCCCCUUCCAUCUCCAUUCUACAAGUAUAUGACGACAAGACACCGAAGGGUGGCGCUGUUGUCUAAGAAAAGUUGCGAGGCCCCUGAGUAAACUGUAAAACUAUUGCUAUGUCUCCCUGUUGAAAAACAUAACUAUUUAAAAAUGUAUGACUUAAAAAAGGAAGCAAAUAGUAGCAUGAUCUAUUCUCUGUUCAUCAGAGUCUGUCUGCCUGCCUUACUAAUUAUGAUGUAUUAUUCUUUUAAAUAUUAUGUAAAAUGUGUUUUACUUGUCUGAUUCACUUCCUGUAAUUAAACCAUUAAACUAAAAUUAUGUACUACCA